Xiphophorus couchianus (Monterrey platyfish) is the source of this 1450-nucleotide long non-coding RNA. RefSeq lists it as uncharacterized. The transcript has 2 exons. The record is from RefSeq and is a predicted model, not a curated record. NCBI's taxonomy places the organism in Eukaryota, Metazoa, Chordata, Actinopteri, Cyprinodontiformes, Poeciliidae.
GCCAUCUUUAGUUGAAUUUCCCUAUGUUUAGUCACCAAGUACAACCUCGAGAAAGCAUUCAUAUUCCCGGAUGUUUUGCCCAUUUUUCACAUUAUGACUAUGAACUUCAUUGUACUUUAUUGGGGUUUGAUUUUCCGGACCAAAACAAAAAUGUGGACAAUGGUAAAGUGUUUCUUGAGAUUUUGUUUUGUAUAAAUACCAACCUAAAAGGUCUGUAUUGCAUUUCUUCACCCAGUUCGAUCGCAUGUACCAGCCCCUAAACAGCAGGAAGGUGGAGGAGCCUGAGUCCUCCAUUACUGGGCGCCUGGUUAAGCUGAGCCUGAUGAUCCUGGGUGGAGGAGCCGCGGCGUACUACUUCCACACACAUCACCCAGACGCCACACCCACCCUGCUGUCCAACAUCCGUCCACAGACAGUCUGAAGAUGAGAGUAGAACUCUAGAGCGUUCAAUCCAAUCGGCUCAAAAUCAGACUGAUGACAGUGACAUUGUAUUUUUUUUGUGUGUGUGUUUACUUUUUGUGAACUCUUGGAAAUGGAUUGCCAAAUUAUGCUUACUAGGCGACUGUUUCAAAAUACAAAUGUAGAUUUAAAAUGUGUUUGUGCUUUUAAACAGGUGAGCUAAACUUCACAUUGGCUGUUGUAACGUAAGCGAUAUUCUCAAACACGUAUAUUUAAGUAAGUGAUUUUUGUUUUCUAUCGCAAAUGCAAAAACAUAAAAAAAUAACUUUUGUUGGGUUUUUUAUUUUUCAAAAUUAUUAUUUUUUUCUCAAUUAUCACCCAUUUUCUGUUUACUGACAGAGUCCAUCAGAUUUUUUAUUAAACAUCUAGUAAGUAUGUUUUGUUUUUCCUCAAAAGCCUCUCCCCUGAAUGUCGUUGGUGCCGAAUGCAUUGCACCUUUACACGUACCGGCCCGCUUUAAUUCUGCAUGUGUCACUUUUUUUUUUUUUUUUUGCACAAUUGAGGAACAUUAGAAAAUAUACUGUACCAUACCCUGCAACUGCUUUAUUUCAUCUCCUGGAUGUCUGUUAUAUGUCUGUUUCAUCAGACAUAUAACAUAACGUUUGUGUGCAAAAACGAUUGUUUCAUCAGAACCUGCAUAUUCAUAACAACAGCACCCUUCAUAUUUUUUGGAACCACAUUUCUAGAUGUGCGAAGUUCAUCAUGUUCAUCUUGUAUUCCGGCAUCAAAUUUUGAGUAAAUGUUUUUCAAAUAGAGGAUAGUUACCAAUAAAGUCGGCAAUAUUUAUUGGGAAUCCUAACAGAAGUAUCUUUCAGUUCAUAAUUCAGUAUCCAUCUAAAAUCUAGUGAUUUUAUCAUCUAUGGCUUCCUGUUUCUGUUGAGUAUAAAUAUGAUCUUUUCUCCUCAGUCAGAUAGUGCUAUAUUAACCUUCUACGUUUUGCAUGAGAUUAGCACCACCAAAUUGAAGUCCUAAAUGAAAUAUUUUUGCAAUA